Molecule: small nucleolar RNA, 98 nt
Organism: Mobula hypostoma (lesser devil ray)
Lineage: Eukaryota; Metazoa; Chordata; Chondrichthyes; Myliobatiformes; Myliobatidae
Product: small nucleolar RNA SNORD16
Exons: 1
Source: RefSeq, a predicted model, not a curated record
UGCUAUGAUGGUGUAAUUUGCGUCUUAUUCUGUGCACAGCAACAGUUGCCUGCUGUUAUAAGCUGGUACGGAUAAAUGACGAACACUUGGUCUGAGCA